RNAcentral lists this ribosomal RNA (253 nucleotides) under uncultured bacterium. RNAcentral's name for it is "partial 16S ribosomal RNA". It matches the Rfam family "Bacterial small subunit ribosomal RNA", at positions 524 to 776 of the family's 1533-position model. The record is from RNAcentral.
GACAGAGGGUGCAAACGUUGUUCGGAAUUAUUGGGCGUAAAGCGCGUGUAGGCGGCUUGUUAAGUUGGUUGUGAAAACCCAUGGCUCAACCAUGGAAGGGCGUCCAAAACUGGCAAGCUAGAGUCCCGACGAGGAUGGCGGAAUUCCCAGUGUAGAGGUGAAAUUCGUAGAUAUUCGCAAGAACACCAGUGGCGAAGGCGGCUUACUGGUCCGGUUCUGACGCUGAGGCGCGAAAGCGUGGGGAGCAAACAGG